This 292-nucleotide ribosomal RNA is filed under the name uncultured bacterium. Its description in RNAcentral is "partial 16S ribosomal RNA". It matches the Rfam family "Bacterial small subunit ribosomal RNA", at positions 505 to 796 of the family's 1533-position model. The record is from RNAcentral.
GUGCCAGCAGCCGCGGUAAUACGGGGGGAGCAAGCGUUGUUCGGAUUCAUUGGGCGUAAAGGGUGCGUAGGCGGGCAGGUAAGUCAGUGGUGAAAUCCUAGAGCUUAACUCUAGAACUGCCAUUGAUACUAUCUGUCUUGAAUAUUGUGGAGGUAAGCGGAAUAUGUCAUGUAGCGGUGAAAUGCUUAGAUAUGACAUAGAACACCUAUUGCGAAGGCAGCUUACUACGCAUAUAUUGACGCUGAGGCACGAAAGCGUGGGGAUCAAACAGGAUUAGAAACCCCUGUAGUCC